This is a non-coding RNA of Gossypium hirsutum (cotton), 104 nucleotides long. NCBI's taxonomy places the organism in Eukaryota, Viridiplantae, Streptophyta, Magnoliopsida, Malvales, Malvaceae. The record is from Rfam.
GAAAGCCAUGUGCAAUGAAAAAUGCAAGCACGAUUUGGGGAGGAAUUUUUUAUUCUUUUAAAUUUAAAUUUAUUUAACUGAAACAAGGAAAUUAUCUACUCCAU